Molecule: non-coding RNA, 5145 nt
Organism: Rattus norvegicus (Norway rat)
Lineage: Eukaryota; Metazoa; Chordata; Mammalia; Rodentia; Muridae
Source: RefSeq, a predicted model, not a curated record
UGAGUCUGGAUUAUUUAGGGAAGAGCCUCUGGGGGAAGGGUAGCCCAGCCCUUGGGCUGGAGUUCAGGGAAGUGGGUGGGGAUAUGCCAGCCAUGCCCUGUAACAGGUAGCGACCGAGAGAACCUGGAGGUUCACUCAUGUUAAGCAGGCACUUUGGUGGCUCGUCCUGUGACUGGAACUUAACAGUCAACACUUCCUCAAGAAUCAGGAAGAAGAACGCGCCAUUCUGCAAAGCUCCUUGUGAUGCAGGCUCCAUCUUCAAAGACACAGGCUGCUCCACUCAGCAAGCAGACCAUAUCCAGAUACAGCUCUGCCCUAGGAUUUCUGAUUCCUCAAGAGAAACAUGGAGACUCUAUUUGCAGGGCAAACCUGUAGUUUUCAGUGUGACCACUGUUCCGUAGUCUGCCUCUUGGCACCUCUGGUGUGGGCAGACAUCUCAGUGAUGGAGUUCAGAGAUGUGUCUAGAAAUCUAGAGAGGGCAUUCACUCAUCCGUGCUAGCCCUCCAUGCCUUGAGUCCUGCUAGAGAACGCACAGUAUUGAUGAGCAACCUGUAUAUGGCCUCCAUGUUAUUCCCAGCUGCCAUCCAAGUCUGGGCUCACCUUUGGUGACUCUCCUGACAGAGAAGUGAAAUGAGAGCCCUGUUUGCCCUUCCCCAACAGUCUUCACUGCAUUGGCUAGAGAAACCGGCUAGCCAUUCUGAUCCUGCCUUGUCUCCCUCCUUUAUAAGACAACAGAACUAGCCAGACCGUCAGGGUGAGCACUAAGUGUCAAAGACACACUUUGAGCCAGCUUUCAGCAGCAGCUUGACACGGUGUUCACCCACCUCAUUUUUGAACAGAGUUCUGAAACUUCUGAGCAGGUGUGUUACUCUAUUUGGAUUCUAUUUUGUUUUCCAAGUAAAAAGAGAGUCAGCCAGUUCAUUUGCAUGAACCUUAGCGAGACUCUCUUCCAAUAGAGCCAGGCAAGGAUGCACGUUUAAGUGGUUGUCAUGGAAACCAGAGAGCAUAGCUCCUGUCCAAGGUCUGAAGGAAGGAUGAUGAGAAGUUUAAGUGAUUUCCAUGGAAACUGAGAACAGAUUCGGUGCUGGUUCAGAUCCCCAGCGCCUUAGCUAGCAGGCAAGUCUUCAGGGAUGAUGAUGUUAGAAGAUCUGAGAGUCUGAUUCUUAGCAACAGGCCAACCCAGGUGCCACUUCCAAGCCAGAUUCACAUUAGCCCGUGGGGCCAGCAGGCAGGUGACCAUAUUCCCCUGGAGCUUAGCCCUUGCGUCCUCUGACUCAAGAUAUAUUUUGAGGCUUCUCUUACUUACCCAGUGUUUUCCCUUGCUCUCCACUACUUUCCUCACCAGAGUGGGAACCCCACAGAGCUGGGGUCACAAAAUGGAACCCUGGUCCCAUUUGUAGGAGACAAGACAUUUUUAAGCAUCCAGCCCUGAUUUCCCUGCAGCCUUAACCAAGAUGUUUCCCCUUGAAUAUUCAUUAAUGACAAAAAUGAAGUUAGAUGUUCCUGCCUUAAAUAGACAGCAGCACCGGAAGUGCUUCUAAUAGCCUGACGGUGGACGGCGGUGCUCAGCAGGCAGACAGACGCUUUCUGUUACCUUUCACAAGCAGCCUCGUGGUGUGAGACUCAGGAGCCUAACUAUCAAUUAAACAACGAAGGAGUCCGUUUUGAGCGGCGUUGCCGAGGAGUCCUUCUCAGCAUGUAGAAUGUCUAUCGCGGCAGGGAAGCCCAAAAGGUCCAGGACUUCAGGAGAAAGGCAUCAACAUCAGCACUUGGCAUUUUGGUGUGGACCCUGCCCCUCCACCCCACCCUCCACCCCCCAACCCCCACCCAGCCCUCUGCAGGGCACUUCCUGUACAGCCUGGUUUGUGCAGCGGGAUUGUUACACUCUAGGAGAAGUCUGAUUCCGUUUACACUAACUGAAGACACCUGGCGAGAAAGGCACGUGCAUCGUAUGGUUUUUGUCUUUUGUUUUCUUUAGUACAUGAAAUGGGCCACCAGUGACAACUUCAAUGGAAAACGUGUAGAAUGGUGACAGCCUGAAGUGGGCACCAUCUGAAAGGUCAUCUAGGGUGAUGAAGAGGAUUCCGUCCGUCCUGGGAUUGGUGUUUUGUUUUCUUAAUCUGUCUUUGAUGUUUCUCUGGUCUUUAUGUUGUAGAAAAACGAACUGUUUUCUUGACCCAAGUUUUCUCUCCCCUUUACUUUUUCUUUUUCCUUUCAAAGUUAAGUUUAAUGGUUUCCUGAACUCUUUUAUUGAAUGCUCAAUAAUAUUUCUUCAGAAAAUUUUGUUUGUUGGUUUGUUGGUUAGAGUGUAUAUGUGUAGAAGUUUGGUCUGGUUCUUGAUCCCAGCCCUUUGCUCCAAGAAAUAAAACUCAGACUCAAAAAAUAUAUUUAGAAAUCCCUUGGCCAUACAGCUAGGCUCUUCUCUGACUAGAUCAUGACUUAAAUUAGCCCAUUUUCUUCUCCUCUGCAUUCUGCCAUGUGUUUGGUUACCUGUGCUCAGGUAACAUGUGUCUGUCUCAUCACGUCUUUCUGUGACAAUCUCUCUUUUAUUCUCUCACCGUUACCCAGAAUCCUCUCUCUUCCUGCCAGUGUCCCACCUCCUGUUUCCUGCUUCAACUCAUUGGCCAUCAGCUUUUUUAUUGACGGGUGCUUCUUAUAAGAGAUUUUUAUUUUUAAUUUAAAUCAGCUGAGCUAUUUUGGUACCAUUUCUUACCAUCUAUAGUGGUUUGGAUAGGUUUGGCCCCCAUAGACUGUUUGAAUGCUUAGCCCACAGGGAGUGAGACUAUUAGGAGGCGUGGCCUUGUUAAAAUAGAAUAGGCGUGGCCUUGUAGGAGGAAAUGUGUUAUCGUGUAGACCGGCUUUUGAGGGCUCCUAGUGUUCUGCCCGUUGUGGAAGAGACCGGCUCUCCUGGCUGUCUCCAGGUCAAGAUGUAGAACUCUCAGCUCCUUCUCCAGCACCAUGUCUGCCUGUGUGCCAUGUCCUGCUCACUGCCGUGAUGAUAAUGGACUGAACCUCUGAACCUGUAAGCCAGACCCAAUUAAAUGCUGUCCUUAUAAGAGUUGCCUUGGUCAUGGUGUCUGUUCACAGUAGUAAAACCCUAAGACACCAUUCCUUUCCCGCAUAAGCUUCUUAGUUUAGAAUCUUAUCCAUCUGGCUUCAGCCUGCUGUAGUCAGGGAGAACAGCCACGGUAUAAGACUUCCUGCCCACCUUGUGUCUACCUUCAGUCCUGAUGUCCCUGCACACCACUCUGGGUUGUGGACUUUCUUAGUAUAAAAGGCAGUGUUUGCUUUCUUACAUAUCUGAGAAACAAGGGGUUAGGUUCUCGGGGCCAGUAGAAAGCUCAGGGACUUAAUCCUACAACUACAACCCCAUUAUCAUCCUAAACCAUUCGGGUCGAGUAAGAUGAAUUUCUUUCAGUCCCAAAGAGACCUACAAUCUUCAGACCCCAGGAGACUGGCCAAGGGCCGAUUCCCACCAAGAGGUUCAUUUCACUAAACCAGCUAGUUAUUCUUAAAGCAGUCUAUGGAUUUUAUGUGAUGUCUGUUCCCAGCUAGGUUUGCAAAGCCGCCUCAGGAGACGUGGUGGCUUCCUAAGCAGUCUAGACUAUGCUUGCCCUUGGCUCAGGCGGUGAACCUGGCCAGAGAGAAGGCAGCCUGCGAGCUCGAGCAGGCGUCCUGUCUAUUUUUACCUGAGAGAUGAAGUCUCCGUGCGCCUUCCAGCGGACAUACUCCGCAUUUGGAGAGGCCAUGACGCUGUGAAGGGCGAUGCUAGGCAUGUCCUCGACUUCCGGCAUCUUCUUCCAUGUUCUGAGGAGAAGGAUAUACGAGUCUUGGAAAGGUAGAGCUCCCUGCCCUUUUACACCCUGGCUUCAGCCAGGAGCCCUGCCCCUGGGGAACUUUCGGUCAGAGACGCCUCCUGCCUUCCUCUCAUCCUUGUCCGUUCUCCGAGCCCCCAAUGCUCUGUCAGUGGGGGUCUCUCUGAAUGUGCACACCUCUUUUCUAGAGUGCAGUGAGAACAAAAAAAAAAAACCCACGAAGCGUUUAACUGCCACAAGUAAUAUACCUCCCGCCCCCUGCUUUUUAAAAAUGAGACAUUUGUAUAACCCAAAAGGCAAAUGUGCUUCGUUUAGAGACCUCUGAGUCUCUGUAGGGAGCAAGGGAAAAAAAAAAAAAACCCAAGUUAAAACAAACGAAAAAUCAAAAUCGAGACAAAACGACACCAAAAAUAAAGAACUCUACUGGGUGAGCAGUGUUAUUGUCCCCUUUCCCAGAGGAGGAAACAGAGGCACAAAAGAUAAAAGACUUCCCAAUGCGAACACCUAGGAGCAUCGGAAUUCCAUCAUGGGUAACCUGGAUUUCAAGGGCAAAAUGUUCUGAAUGGAUUGACCUCCAAUUCACAAUUGCGUGAUGAUGGUCUCACAUUCAAUAAAUCUCAGAACUGUGAUUCAGAUCUUCCAGUAAGUGUCCCCAAAAUGGAGAUCACCGAGACUGAGGUACCUAUACAUUCCCACGAGAUGCCCUGGCCACAGGUCCAAGGUUAAAGCAUAAGCAUGGGGGAUGGGCCUGAUUCCAGGGCUUGGUCCUCCAUUCUGGAGUGCAUUCGAUUAAAUGUCUUUAAGAGAGAUAACUUUUCAGUGGGCUAAAACAUGUGAACUUAAUACUUGAAAGGUGGCUGUGGCGGUUUGAAUAGGAGUAGCUCCCAUAGUUUCUUGUGUUUGAAUGUUUGACAGAAGGGAGUGACACUAUUUGGAGGCGUGGCCAUGCUAGAGGAGGCGUGGCCAUGCUAGAGGAGGUGUGGCCAUGCUAGAGGAGGUGUGGCCAUGCUAGAGGAGGUGUGGCCAUGCUAGAGGAAGUGUGUCACUGUAGAGGUGGAGCUUUGAGGUUUCUUAUAGAUACUCAAGUCUGUCCAGUGUGACAGCCUCCUCCUGCUGCCUGUGGUUCAAAAUGCAGAACUUUCUGCUCUCCCAGCACCAUGUCUACCUGCCAUGCUUCCCGCCAUGAUGAUAAUGGACUGAACCUCUGAAAUUGUAAGCCAGCUUCAGUUAAAUGUUUCCCUUUAUGAGGGUUGCCAUGAUCAUGGUGUCUCUUCACAGCAAUGAAACCCUAACUAAGACAGUAGUCAAAACUUUUAAUAAAUUAGUCAAA